RNAcentral lists this ribosomal RNA (287 nucleotides) under uncultured prokaryote. RNAcentral's name for it is "partial 16S ribosomal RNA". It matches the Rfam family "Bacterial small subunit ribosomal RNA", at positions 524 to 819 of the family's 1533-position model. The record is from RNAcentral.
UACGUAGGGGCCGAGCGUUGUCCGGAGUUACUGGGCGUAAAGCGUGCGCAGGCGGCGCGUUCUGCCCGGCGUGAAAGCCCCCGGCUCAACCGGGUAGGGUCGUCGGGGACGGGCGCGCUUGAGGGUAUCAGGGGCUGGUGGAAUUCCCGGUGUAGUGGUGAAAUGCGUAGAGAUCGGGAGGAACACCUGUGGCGAAGGCGGCCAGCUGGGAUACACCUGACGCUGAGGCACGAAGGCGUGGGGAGCGAACGGGAUUAGAUACCCCCUGUAGUCCCUGAGCGGGCUGG